Molecule: non-coding RNA, 485 nt
Organism: Myodes glareolus (Bank vole)
Lineage: Eukaryota; Metazoa; Chordata; Mammalia; Rodentia; Cricetidae
Source: the annotation of a RefSeq genome assembly
UAAAUCUCAGACAAAGGAAUCAGUCCUGGAUGUCCAGGUCUUCCCAUUCAGUGAUCAACCCUGAUAACAAAACAGACAAUGAUAUGAUGCUGAUUUGGGUUUUCCUUGUUGUUUUCUUAAAAGAUGUCCAGUCUGAGGUGCAGCUUGUGGAGACUGGAGGAGGCCUGGUUAAGCCUGGGGGAUCCCUGAAACUAUCCUGUGUAGCCUCUGGAUUCACUUUCAGAAACUACUGGAUGACCUGGGUUCGCCAAGCUCCAGGGAAAGGCCUGGAGUGGGUUGGAAAUAUUAAUAAAGACAGCAGUACUAUAAGAUAUGCACCAUCCGUGAAGGAUCGAUUCGCCAUCUCCAGAGACAAUGCCAAGAAAACUCUGUACCUGCAAAUGAGCAGUGUGAGAUCUGAGGACACAGCCACUUAUUACUAUGCUAGAGACACAGUGAUGAGACCCAGUGAUGGGACAGACACAGUGACAGGACUUCAGUGUUAA